AUUGAACGCUGGCGGCAUGCCUUACACAUGCAAGUCGAACGGCAGCACGGGAGCAAUCCUGGUGGCGAGUGGCGAACGGGUGAGUAAUAUAUCGGAACGUGCCCAGUAGUGGGGGAGUAGCCGGCGAAAGCCGGAUUAAUACCGCAUACGACCUGAGGGUGGAAAGCGGGGGAGUCGCAAGACCUCGCGCUAUUGGAGCGGCCGAUAUCAGAUUAGCUAGUUGGUGGGGUAAAGGCCUACCAAGGCUACGAUCUGUAGUUGGUCUGAGAGGACGACCAGCCACACUGGGACUGAGACACGGCCCAGACUCCUACGGGAGGCAGCAGUGGGGAAUUUUGGACAAUGGGCGCAAGCCUGAUCCAGCAAUGCCGCGUGCAGGAAGAAGGCC
RNAcentral lists this ribosomal RNA (388 nucleotides) under uncultured bacterium. RNAcentral describes it as "bacterial SSU rRNA". It matches the Rfam family "Bacterial small subunit ribosomal RNA", at positions 29 to 416 of the family's 1533-position model. The record is from RNAcentral.